RNAcentral lists this ribosomal RNA (260 nucleotides) under uncultured bacterium. RNAcentral describes it as "partial 16S ribosomal RNA". It matches the Rfam family "Bacterial small subunit ribosomal RNA", at positions 1240 to 1500 of the family's 1533-position model. The record is from RNAcentral.
CAAAGAGAAGCAAAGCCGCGAGGUAGAGCAGAUCUCAAAAAAACAUCUCAGUUCAGACUGCAGGCUGCAACUCGCCUGCACGAAGUCGGAAUUGCUAGUAAUCGUAGGUCAGCAUACUACGGUGAAUACGUUCCCGGGCCUUGUACACACCGCCCGUCAAACCAUGAGAGUUGGCAACACCCGAAGUCGGUAGUCUAACCGCAAGGAGGACGCCGCCGAAGGUGGGGUUGAUGAUUAGGGUUAAGUCGUAACAAGGUACC